RNAcentral lists this transfer RNA (72 nucleotides) under Ictidomys tridecemlineatus (thirteen-lined ground squirrel). RNAcentral's name for it is "Spermophilus tridecemlineatus (thirteen-lined ground squirrel) tRNA". It matches the Rfam family "tRNA". From Rfam's summary of the family: Transfer RNA (tRNA) molecules are approximately 80 nucleotides in length. Their secondary structure includes four short double-helical elements and three loops (D, anti-codon, and T loops). Lineage: Eukaryota; Metazoa; Chordata; Mammalia; Rodentia; Sciuridae. The record is from Rfam by way of RNAcentral.
GGUGUUGUAGCUCAGUGGUAGGGCGCUUACCUUGCACGCUUGAGGCCCUGGGUUUAGUUCCCAGCAUCACAU